This 721-nucleotide long non-coding RNA is filed under the name Pan troglodytes (chimpanzee). RNAcentral's name for it is "lincRNA". The record is from RNAcentral. Lineage: Eukaryota; Metazoa; Chordata; Mammalia; Primates; Hominidae.
UGCAAUUGAGCCUGCUGGGUGCUGCUGCAAGUUUGGGGGUGAACAGGAGAAUCAGGUUCUUGUAGGGGUGAAGUCUGCAAAGUAGGAUGUUUUCCUAAUUUGAAUGCAAUGACUGAAGUGGAAAAUGGUCAAAACUGGGCAGAGUGGCUCACACCUACAAUCCCCUAGGAGGGAAGGACAAAGGCAUCCAUAUCACCUGGCCACAGUGGUUGUGGUGGAAGCUGUAGCACUGAAGAGAUGCAGCCCCAUGGAAGAUGCUGCCAAGAGAGGGAGACAGAGCUAUGUCUGGUGUCUCCCUUCCUCCUUACCUGGUGCCUCCCUCCUCCUGUCCUCCUGUCUCCCUUCAGAUGAAGGAACUGAUGCUGAGACUUGCACUCUACCAUAGGCGGAAGCACCCACCACCCUGUUCCCAGCCCUGGAAGGGCAAGGAAUGAAUCUGAGGCAAAUAGGGCCGGCACUGGCAGUCUGCUCGAUUUUCCCUCAGAGCAUUUAUCUUCCUUGACAUAUUUACAAUUUUUUGUCUAUUUUUGGUUUCUCUAACUUGACUAGAAUGUAAGAUCCACAAGGCUUGGGCUUUGCUCUUUUGUUCACUAUGUCCAUAGCUCCUAUAACAGUGCCUAAAACAUAGUAGGCAAUCAAUAGAUAUUCUUUGGAUAAACAAAUAUGCCUCAACAUUGAGUCUAACUUACAGCAGACAUUGAAUAAAUAUCUAUUGAAUGAA